CCUACGGGAGGCAGCAGUGAGGAAUAUUGGUCAAUGGGCGCGAGCCUGAACCAGCCAAGUCGCGUGAGGGAGGACGGCCCUACGGGUUGUAAACCUCUUUUGCCGGGGAGCAACGGGCGCCACGUGUGGCGUCACUGAGAGUACCCGGAGAAAAAGCAUCGGCUAACUCCGUGCCAGCAGCCGCGGUAAUAAGGAGGAGGCGAGCGUUAUCCGGAUGUAUGGGGUUUAAAGGGUUCGUAGGCGGAUGGUUAAGUCAGAGGGAAAAUUGAGGGGCUCAACCCCUUACCGCCAUUGAAACUGGCGUUCUUGAGUGGAAGAGAAGUAUGCGGAAUGCGUGGUGUAGCGGUGAAAUGCAUAGAUAUCACGCAGAACCCCGAUUGCGAAGGCAGCAUGCCGGCUUCCGACUGACGCUGAAGCACGAAAGCGUGGGGAUCGAACAGGAUUAGAUACCCUUGUAGUC
RNAcentral lists this ribosomal RNA (460 nucleotides) under uncultured bacterium. RNAcentral's name for it is "partial 16S ribosomal RNA". It matches the Rfam family "Bacterial small subunit ribosomal RNA", at positions 338 to 795 of the family's 1533-position model. The record is from RNAcentral.